GGGAUUGCCCUAGUAACGGCGAGUGAAGCGGCAACAGCUCAAAUUUGAAAUCCGGCGCACCCGCGCCCGAGUUGUAAUUUGCAGAGGGUGCUUUCGCGUUGACUGCGGCCUAAGUUCCUUGGAACAGGGCGUCACAGAGGGUGAGAACCCCGUACGUGGCCGCACGGAGCAACGCGGUGUAAAGCCCCUUCGACGAGUCGAGUUGUUUGGGAAUGCAGCUCUAAAUGGGAGGUAAAUUCCUUCUAAAGCUAAAUACCGGCCAGAGACCGAUAGCGCACAAGUAGAGUGAUCGAAAGAUGAAAAGCACUUUGGAAAGAGAGUCAAAAAGCACGUGAAAUUGUUGAAAGGGAAGCGCUUGCAGCCAGACUCGCCCGCGGACGUUUUCGCCCGCGGGCGGGCCAGCAUCAGUCGUGGCGGCCCGAUAAAGGCCCCGGGAACGUGGCUCCCUCCGGGGAGUGUUAUAGCCCGGGGCGCCAUGGGGCCAGCUCGCGACUGAGGUCCGCGCGCAUGCUAGGAUGCUGGCGUAAUGGCUGUAAGCGGCCCGUCUUGAAACACGGACCAAGGAGUCUAACAUCUAUGCGAGUGUUUGGGUGUCAAGCCCGGGCGCGCAAUGAAAGUGAACGGAGGUGGGAACCCCUCGGGGCGCACCAUCGACCGAUCCUGAUGUCUUCGGAUGGAUUUGAGUAAGAGCAUAGCUGUUGGGACCCGAAAGAUGGUGAACUAUGCCUGAAUAGGGUGAAGCCAGAGGAAACUCUGGUGGAGGCUCGCAGCGGUUCUGACGUGCAAAUCGAUCGUCAAAUUUGGGCAUAGGGGCGAAAGACUAAUCGAACUAUCUAGU
Molecule: ribosomal RNA, 838 nt
Filed under: Purpureofaciens aquatica
Lineage: Eukaryota; Fungi; Ascomycota; Dothideomycetes; Pleosporales; Anteagloniaceae
Description: Dothideomycetes sp. WD-2020e partial large subunit ribosomal RNA
Rfam family: Eukaryotic large subunit ribosomal RNA
Source: RNAcentral